Molecule: ribosomal RNA, 425 nt
Filed under: uncultured bacterium
Lineage: Bacteria
Description: bacterial SSU rRNA
Rfam family: Bacterial small subunit ribosomal RNA
Source: RNAcentral
GUGGGGAAUCUUGCGCAAUGGGGGAAACCCUGACGCAGCGACGCCGCGUGGAGGAUGAAGGUCUUCGGGUUGUAAACUCCUUUUGUAGGGGAAAAUAAUGAUGGUACCCUACGAAUAAGCCACGGCUAACUCUGUGCCAGCAGCCGCGGUAAGACAGAGGUGGCGAGCGUUGUUCGGAAUUACUGGGCUUAAAGGGCGAGUAGGCGGUAGAGCAAGUCCAAGGUGGAAGCCUAUGGCUUAACCAUAGAAUUGCCUUGGAAACUGUUUUACUUGAGUCAGUGAGGGGAGGGCGGAAUUCCUGGUGUAGCGGUGAAAUGCGUAGAUAUCAGGAGGAAGGCCUGUGGCGAAGGCGGCCCUCUGGCACUGGACUGACGCUGAGGCGCGAAAGCGUGGGGAGCAAACAGGAUUAGAUACCCCGGUAGUCC